AUAUCAGUUCAAAACUGACAUAGACUGAAUCACACACUCAAACACACACACGUGAGAGGAAAUUUAUAAAAGCUAGAGUUUUUUCAGCAAAUUACCAACGAAAAACACAGUGAAAAGGCCACCUAAAAGUCCAGGUAAAGCCAUGAAUUAUACGUACACCAAGAGAACAUUYUCUAGGCGUACAUGUAUCAAGAAACCAAUCGGUGAGUCAACACGACAUCCCCCUCCACCCUCCCAAAAAAUACUACAGCUAAUUAACGCUAAAAAGUGUUUAUUUUAUUAUCCUCUGUUAUGUUAUGAUUAACAGGGCUCCACUGCUAAACCCCUAACCUAUUAUGGUCUACUAGCGUAAUAACGGCAAGUCUUCUUACAUCCUCCUCCUCCACGUCGUCCGCAGGAUUUCAUACAUCUAAGGCUCCUCCCCGCCCCAUCUUUCUUCUUGCAGCAUUGGCUGUUUGAUGUACAGGGGCCAUAGGAGUUUGGAAGGCAAMCUCUUUUCUCGUAUACCAUUGCGCUUGACAGCCAGUCUUCAUCAAAUGCUCGGACGCUCAUCACACAUGCGACAAGGAUCAACACAAGAACAGUUUUCAUGAUUGUCGGCUUGCUAGCUGGUGACUGGAUAUAAAACAUUGCUAAGUAUUAAUAAAUAACCACAAACUU
Molecule: long non-coding RNA, 660 nt
Organism: Actinia tenebrosa (Australian red waratah sea anemone)
Lineage: Eukaryota; Metazoa; Cnidaria; Anthozoa; Actiniaria; Actiniidae
Source: RefSeq, a predicted model, not a curated record